GACGAAGGGGGCUAGCGUUGUUCGGAAUUACUGGGCGUAAAGCGCGUGUAGGCGGUUGUCCAAGUCGGGUGUGAAAGCCUUGAGCUCAACUCAAGAAAUGCACUCGAUACUGGGUGACUUGAGGACCGGAGAGGAUAGUGGAAUUCCCUGUGUAGUGGUGAAAUACGUAGAGAUUGGGAAGAACACCAGUGGCGAAGGCGGCUAUCUGGACGGUUUCUGACGCUAAGACGCGAAAGCGUGGGGAGCAAACAGG
This 253-nucleotide ribosomal RNA is filed under the name uncultured bacterium. Its description in RNAcentral is "partial 16S ribosomal RNA". It matches the Rfam family "Bacterial small subunit ribosomal RNA", at positions 524 to 776 of the family's 1533-position model. The record is from RNAcentral.